RNAcentral lists this transfer RNA (64 nucleotides) under Psyttalia concolor. RNAcentral describes it as "tRNA-Cys". Lineage: Eukaryota; Metazoa; Arthropoda; Insecta; Hymenoptera; Braconidae. RNAcentral also lists the same sequence under 1 other name. The record is from RNAcentral.
UAAUUUUUAGUUUAAUUAAAAUAAUAAAUUGCAAAUUUAUUGAUAUAAAAUUUUAUAAAAUUAU